UCAAUAUACAACUAAAUCUCUGCAAAUGAGCCGGAAACAAUAUACACAUCAACAAUUACACAAAAUCAAACAAAACCUUAACUAAAAAGCAGAAAACUCACAUGGAGAAACUCCAGCUUGUCUUAGAGGUUUUUGAGAGCAGUUCGAAUAGCAAUUAAAAGACUUGGCCUCACAAAUAGCCAAAUCAUCACCCGAAAACCCCUUAACAAAAACAAACCCAUUCCCAUUCUCCUCAUACCCCCAAACCCAUUUCUCUUCCGCCCCGGAUCUGCCCGAAGAACUGAUUUACCACCAAGAAUGAGUUUGCAAAAAUCACAGUUAGGGUUCGGAGGGGGAGAGUGAUUGAGUAAUGGAGGUGGAAGUAUAGAGAUGAGUUGGUAAGUGUAGCUGUUUGGGGGCCGAUUGUAGGGUUUGAGAUUUGUGAUUAGUCUCGUCAGUUUAUUUUGGGGAGAGAGAUAUUGAGAGAGAGAUUGAGGGAGAGAGAAUUAUGUUUUUCUGAUUUUUGGGGUUAAAAAAAUUUGGGGACUGAAGGUUUGAAAGGGGGAAUAUUUUGGUGUUUAUUUUGUUUGAUUUUGGGGUUAAAAGAAUUGGGGGGAACGAAAAUUUGACUAAGGGCGGAAAUAUACAGGAAAUAUUUGGGGGAGGGGGGAAAGACAUGGUUGCCGCGCGCUUUUUGUUUUUAAUUCAAAGAAGAUAGACAUCGGUUCUUAUAUUAACUGAUGUCAAAAAUGUAAUAGACAUCGGUUAAUUUUUAGCCGAUGUUAAUACAAGCUUUUACAUCGUGGCCAAAGUCGACCGAUGUCUAUACCCUGAUGUCUAUUCUACUUUUUCUAGUAGUG
RNAcentral lists this long non-coding RNA (839 nucleotides) under Daucus carota (carrot). Its description in RNAcentral is "long non-coding RNA (DCAR_LNC004073)". Lineage: Eukaryota; Viridiplantae; Streptophyta; Magnoliopsida; Apiales; Apiaceae. The record is from RNAcentral.